AGCAGAGAAAAUGGCAACCGAAACCUCAGUCGAUUAUGACAGAACCAAAGAGUUGACGCAAUUCGACGACACAAAAGCUGGUGUUAAAGGACUCGUCGACGCCGGAAUACUUAACAUCCCCAAGAUUUUCGUUCGACCAGCCGAGGACCUUGCCGCCGAAGAACUGAAUUCCGGCCACAAAAACGUCGAAGUUCCGAUCAUAGAUGUAAGCAACAUCGGAGACAGUAUCCGGCGACAGGAGAUCGUAAACGAAGUUAAGAUUGCAUCAGGGGAAUGGGGUUUCUUCCAAGUGAUAAACCAUGGGAUCCCAUUAAGUGUUUUGGAUGAAAUGAUUGAAGGGAUACGUUUGUUUAAUGAACAAGAUUUAGAGUUGAAGAAAGAGUUAUAUAGCCGUGACAGUGCAAAGAAAGUGAAAUUCCACUCAAAUUUUGAUCUUUAUACUUCAGAAACUGUUGAUUGGAGGGACACUUUGCAACUUACUUUCCUUGAUUCUGACCCUGACCCUUCUCAAAUGCCAUCCGUCUGCAGGUAACGAAGCACUAUCUUAGUUCGUUACUUCUUCGAAAGAAAUUUGUUGUAAAUUUGAGGCUUGUGGAUCCCUUUAACAUGUUCGAUAUUGUCAUGAGUGGAGGUUCUAUUUCCUGAUUUCAUUGAAAGCUGCGCAAGAUUCACGGAAUCAGAACAUUUCGUUGGAUCGAUCUAUGUACCACCAAAGAAAAUGGUUACCAUUUGUCGGGUAAAACUACCAUAGAGAAGUUUAUAUUAAGGGUUAAAUUGCAUUUUUCCUUCCAUACUAAAAAAAAAUAAAGAAAUUAGUCUUUAUAUAUUCGAUCAAAGAGUAAAUUGGUCUUUCUGAUAAAAAAUUUAACAGAAAAGAUCAAUUUAUUCUUUGAUAUAAUGUAUGGGAACUAAUUUACCCUUUUUUGAAUAGAAUAGGCAAAAAUGUAAUUUGAUUCCUAGUAAAGGAUCUCUAUAAUCCUUUUACUCCAUUUGUGGUUAGUAAGGUUUGAACUCACUCCUAAAGGAUGUAUAGAUAAAGUGGCAGCAUAUAUGUCUAUUGGUGCUAUUUAGGGCUUGAGUUCAAACUUUACUAUUGGCCAAUAACUAUAUUUUCUCGAUAAGCGCACAACUUAAUCUAACGAAAUGUUCUCAUUUUAUGAACCUCGUGCAUCUCUUAAAGGAGUUAAGAGCCAAAACUAUGGUCUUAACAUAUUGAAGGAUUUCUUUAAAAAAUUGAAAUUUUUUGAUAACUUUGAAAUGUGUAGUCUGCUUUAGAAUUGUGACCAAACCAAAACCACAAAAUUAAGGGUUGUUUAGCCGAUAUAGAACCAUAUUCAAUAGAAAAUUUUCAAAUUUACAUUGGGUAUUUUUUGCUUGUUUAAAUUUGUAGAAAAUCAACAAUGGAGUAUUUUAAACAUAUGAAAAAAUUGGGAGAAACAUUGUUCGAGUUACUAUCGGAAGCACUCGGUCUUCAAGCAGACCACCUUAACUCACUGGGAUAUAGUAAAGGGUGUAGCAUAGUGACCCACUACUAUCCACCUUGCCCUCAACCUGAACUCACUUUAGGAGUAAGGAAACAUGCAGACGCUGGCAUAUUAACAAUGCUUCUACAGAACCAUAUUGGCGGCCUCCAAGUCCUUCACAAUGGUCAAUGGUUCGACAUCCACCCCACUCGAGGUGGUUUGGUCAUAAACAUUGGCGAUCUUCUUCAAGUUAGCUUCAAUUCACAUCAAAUCUAUAUGAAUCUGUCCUAAUAGACUAGCUACUGACUCUUUUUAUGUUGUUUAUGGUAGGUUUUAUCAAAUGAUAAGUUCAAGAGUGUGAAACACAGAGCAAUUUCCAAUCAUAUCGGACCUAGAAUUUCAGUGGCAUGUUUUUUCUCAGGACAUGCUAGCUUGCUUGACAAGCCAUUUGGACCAAUCAAAAAGCUGAUAUCAGAGGCAAAUCCUCCUCAUUAUGAAGAGUUUUUGUUAAAGGAAUAUUUUGCCAAGUUUUUUUCAAGCUCACUUGAUUCCAAGCCCCCUAUAGAUUACUACAAGCUGUGAAGCUAUAAACUAUCAAUUUGGCAUUAGAAUACCAAACUGAGUAGAACUUUUUUUGUGUGUGUGUGUUUUAGUUUGUAUUACAAACUUAGUAACUAUUGUGUAGUGUAUUUUUUUUUUUGUAUAAUAAAGCGUAUUUAAAAUAUUUUAUAUUUUACAUAAAUAUUGAUAUAUAAAUAAUCUGAAUUAUAUUGGUUACAAGAAAUACAUAUAUUCAUAUUGUUUUCUCUUAUUACAUUGUAUUUUUUUCCCACAUUAUUUAAUCUUAAAAACAUGGCUAUGUCCUUAAAUAUCUAAAAAAAACAUGACUAUCGUUUCAAGUCUAGUCUAGACCAUUGUGAUCUUCCUUUUAAGUCUACCUAUGACAAAGAUUUCAUCGGCAAAAGUAUCACAAAUGCUUUUAUAAUAUAAAUUGAAUUGCAUUUUAUCAUCUUUAAUAUUUUUGCUAUGUUACAUAACAUGUAUAAUUUAAUUAAAAAAUUAAGUUUCAGUCAUUGUGGUUCACAUAUCACCUUUUAAUAAAAUUAAUUAUAUAAUAAAUUAUAUAUAUUUUUAAAUCCUACUUUUUCCAACUACUACCUCAACAACAAAUAAAUACAUAAUAGAUUAUUUUUAAAAAUUUUAAGGUAUAUUCCAUAUAAGUUCACUAAAUUAUUAACUAUUAAUAAAUUUUUGUUUUGAUCACUCAACCUCAAAAAAUUAUAAAAUGGUCAUUAUACUAUUAAAAAUUUUUCAUUUAAGUCAUUAGGGUAUGGUCUUUUCUCUUCGCACUGUGUGCACCAAUCGAAAGUUUUUUUUUCUUUUCUUCUACAAUUUAAUUUUUCUCAUGAAACAGCUUUAAACGUCAUAAUCUGUAAAUCAAAAUUUAAACAAUUUUGUUCUCUAAUCUUCGACAUUGACCAUCAAAUCAAUUUAGAUAUAAGGUAUGUCCUACUCGUCAAUGAGUAUUAAUUUACUAUACUAAUUGUCGAAUCAUUACUUGAAACAGAUUUUUAAAAAAAUCAAAAAUAAUUUAAAUAAAAACUUUCGACUAGUUCAAAAUAAAAAGAUAAACUCACCAAUGAUCUAUAAGUAAAUUAACCUUUUAAUUUGUAUGUUUUUUUAGUAAUAUAUUAAAUUAAAUCAGACUAAAUUGAUUCAACUAAAAGUCGGGCUUUUAAUUCAUUCAACCACUUGUGGAGAUUUUAAAAGAAAAAGGCAAUUCAAUUAGCAGAGAAAAUGGCAACCGAAACCUCAGUGGAUUACGAUAGAACCAAAGAGUUGAAGCAAUUCGACGACACAAAAGCUGGUGUUAAAGGACUCGUCGACGCCGGAAUACUUAACAUCCCCAAGAUUUUCGUUCGACCAUCCGAGGACCUUGCCGCCGACGAACUGAAUUCCAGUCAGAAAACCAUUGAAGUCCCGAUCAUAGAUGUAAGCAACAUCGGAGACAGUAUCCGGCGAAAGGAGAUCGUAAACGAAGUUAAGAUUGCAUCAGGGGAAUGGGGUUUCUUCCAAGUGAUAAA
This 3547-nucleotide long non-coding RNA is filed under the name Gossypium barbadense (sea-island cotton). Its description in RNAcentral is "long non-coding RNA (GBAR_LNC008628)". The record is from RNAcentral. Lineage: Eukaryota; Viridiplantae; Streptophyta; Magnoliopsida; Malvales; Malvaceae.